This 1529-nucleotide long non-coding RNA is filed under the name Homo sapiens (human). RNAcentral's name for it is "non-protein coding lnc-CCDC188-1:1". The record is from RNAcentral. Lineage: Eukaryota; Metazoa; Chordata; Mammalia; Primates; Hominidae.
ACACAGGGCUUGGGCCUCAGGCCCUCUGAGAUCCCGCCGGCAUCGUCUCUGGGUGCAGGCAGCCCCAGUGGGGCCCAGGCGGAGCUGGCCAAGACCACAGGACCUUGGUGGCAGGCAGAGGCCAAUGGCUCACCAGGCUGGUGGCUCCAGGAAGUUAAGGCAUCUGUUCAUGUGUCAGGGGAAGGGCAGGAGGAGUGCAGAGACCUUCAGGGGCAACCUGAGACCCCCCCCCCACCCAGCCCAACCCACGGAGGCCUGGGCUCCCCGAGGAGGAAGUGGCUUAGUCUAAAGUGCUUGGUUGGGUAGGGAGGCUGGGCAAAGGUCGUGCCGGUCCCCACAGCUCUGGGACUGCCCCCCUGUGGGGUGCUGGACCCCCUGCAGCAGGUGGGGGACUCCCUGAGGUCAUGUGGACACAGGGUCUCAGGCCCUGGCAGGCUGGGAAUCUGUCAAGCUGUGGCUGGUGGAGCAGAGAGCCCAGCCCACCCCCAGCCCUGCCCCAGGGUCCACUGCAGUCUGACCUCCUGGGUCCCCAGCUGGGCUGUCCUGGGCCCCAGAGCCGCCUACUUGUCAUCCUGCUAGGGCCCCGAGAGGCUGGGGAAAAGACUGGAGGCAGCCAAGUGCAGGCGGCACAUGGCCCCGCGUGGGGGUGCCCCGGCGGCCUGGCUCCAGGGGGCCCGCAGUGGUGGGCGGUCCUCCGGGCGGCCAAGGUGGCACAGGUGCAGCCCAGGAGGCACCCAAGGCUGGCCACGCCGCCCCCAUCCACGGGUGCAGGUGCCAAUCCGCCCCCUGCGGGCCGCGGCGUCCGUGAGAGAGAAGCAGAAAGGUGGAGGUCAGCUUCGGGGCCCUACAGCCCGCACGCCUCCCACGCUGGGACAGCCCCAGCCCAGAAUGUCUCAGCCCUGAACAGCUGUGCAUCCCUCACACUCCCUCAGCCCUGCCCCUGGCAUGUGGCAGGCAGGAGAGUUCCAGCAGGUUCAGCGGCCCCCACAGGGCCCUGAGCCAACAGGUGGCCCCUAUGCACCCCCAUUUCAUCUCCCCAAGCUCUCGGGUUCCUGAGAGUCCCCUGUGGGUAGCGGCAGACCCAAGUCUUUCCCCCAAACACCCUGUCACUGCCAGAACUGACACAGACCCAAGGCGAGAGACCCUCACACUUCCCAGCCACAGACCAUCGGCCGCCCCCUCUUCCCAAGCCUCUGACUCAGCCCAAGUCGGCAGAAAUGCCCCUGAGGAACCCACCGACCCCUGCACACCAGACAGCAGCCACUCCCUCUUCUGGGGCCCGGCCCCUGCCCUCCCCUAACUCGGGAUCCUGCAGCAAUAGCCCUGGCCUUGCCCAAGGAAAGAAUCAAAAUAACUCUUUUUCUUUUUUUUAAUAAAAUUAUAGAUAUAUAGAUGUAGAUAUAAAAACAUAAAACAGACACAACGCAAGCAGACGCUGUCAUGUGCUUACUCUCAGGUCCCUGACACCAAGGGAAGCACUGACCCCUCCCCAGUGUGCUUUCCCACGGCGCGAGCACCGCAGCCAGGCC